UAUAUCAAAUGUAAUUCAAAAUUCAUAAUUUUCUGUUGAUUCUUUUUGGUUAUAUAGACCCUAUAUCAUUUUUUAACACUAGUAGCCUCGUUCUAGGAUUUAAUUCAUUAGCAACAAGUAAAUUUGUAAAUUUAUAACUUUAACAUAGGGUCCCUCAUGUGAUACACUAUUUUGUCAAGAUUUUGUUAAAAAUGAGAAUAAAAGAAGAACUUUUAUGUUAUAAAACAAAUAUAAAUUUCUCCAUAUUAACAGUACAUGCAGAAGUUUAUUUUGAACAAUUGAGAAACCAAAAGAACUGAAUCAAUUUACCAGAGAACAUCCCCCC
This 325-nucleotide long non-coding RNA is filed under the name Mytilus galloprovincialis (Mediterranean mussel). The record is from RNAcentral. Lineage: Eukaryota; Metazoa; Mollusca; Bivalvia; Mytilida; Mytilidae.